UGGGCUCCUAUCUUGGUUUACCA
This 23-nucleotide non-coding RNA is filed under the name Arabidopsis thaliana (thale cress). Lineage: Eukaryota; Viridiplantae; Streptophyta; Magnoliopsida; Brassicales; Brassicaceae. The record is from RNAcentral.